Molecule: long non-coding RNA, 396 nt
Filed under: Elaeis guineensis (African oil palm)
Lineage: Eukaryota; Viridiplantae; Streptophyta; Magnoliopsida; Arecales; Arecaceae
Description: long non-coding RNA (EGUI_LNC033297)
Source: RNAcentral
UUCAACAGAAGGAGAUAAAUCUCCAUGGUGAUGCAUGAAAGACAUGCUCUUACAUGGCCUUAGAGGCGGACACCUCGCCACCUUCUCCUGGAGCCUCUUUCGCAGGGUUCUGAGGCUGCGGUUUUGUCGCCGCCGCCUCAGACUUCCCCUUGACAUUUUCCUCGGGCUUCCCCACCGAGGUCCCAGGAGCACCUUUCUCGGUGGCGGUGUUUUCGCCCACCUGAGGCUCACAAGCUUCCUUCUUCUUGGUCAGACGCAUUUUCUUAUUUUCGCCAUAUAUCCCUUUCCAUGAAUGGCAGUCACACGGCUCGGCCUCCUUCACUGCAGAUUUCACAGGUCUCAACUUCCUCGAUCUCAUGGCAAACCGAGAGAAUGACGAUGGAGGAAAGGACUUCA